ACACUUACCUGGCAGGAGAGGCACCACGAUCACGAAGGUGGUUUUCCCAGGGCGAGGCUUAUCCAUUGCACUCCAGAUGUGCUGACCCCUGCGAUUUCCCCAAAUGUGGGAAACUCGACUGCACAAUGUAUGACAGUGGGGGACUGUGUUCACGCUUCCCCUGC
This 164-nucleotide small nuclear RNA is filed under the name Echinops telfairi (small Madagascar hedgehog). RNAcentral describes it as "U1 spliceosomal RNA (ENSETEG00000020907.1)". It matches the Rfam family "U1 spliceosomal RNA". Rfam says of the family: U1 is a small nuclear RNA (snRNA) component of the spliceosome (involved in pre-mRNA splicing). Its 5' end forms complementary base pairs with the 5' splice junction, thus defining the 5' donor site of an intron. The record is from RNAcentral. Lineage: Eukaryota; Metazoa; Chordata; Mammalia; Afrosoricida; Tenrecidae.